UCAAUUCAACUUCAGACAGUGGUUCUGUAC
RNAcentral lists this non-coding RNA (30 nucleotides) under Mus musculus (house mouse). Lineage: Eukaryota; Metazoa; Chordata; Mammalia; Rodentia; Muridae. The record is from RNAcentral.